Molecule: ribosomal RNA, 282 nt
Filed under: uncultured delta proteobacterium
Lineage: Bacteria; Deltaproteobacteria
Description: partial 16S ribosomal RNA
Rfam family: Bacterial small subunit ribosomal RNA
Source: RNAcentral
AACGAACGCUGGCGGCGUGCUUAACACAUGCAAGUCGAGCGCACGGACGGACUUCGGUCCGCGAGUGAGCGGCGAACGGGUGAGUAACACGUGAAUAACGUACCCUCGGGUGUGGGAUAACCAUUCGAAAGGAUGGCUAAUACCGCAUAAGACCACAACGCCUCAUGGUGAAGGGGUCAAAGCUUUAUGCGCCCAAGGAUCGGUUCGCGGUCCAUUAGGUAGUUGGCGGGGUAAUGGCCCACAAGCCGAAGAUGGAUAGCUGGUCUGAGAGGAUGAUCAGCC